AAGACAACAUCAUUCAUCUGCUGAAAAGGCUGAAGACUUCCUUUAUAAGGACCCUUUUUCAGACCACAGAUUCAGAGAAUUUCCUUUGCUGAAGUUCUGUACUUGGUGCCUGAGACGGCCAAAAUCUGCUUAAACCACAGCAGGUCAACCAACCGACCACCUGACCAACCAACUAAUUAAUACCUGGGAAAGAAAUAAGUCUGGCGCUGUGGCCUUUCUGGCCAGUUGAAGUCCAGGAUACUGAAACAAGGUCAAAUAGCUGUUUUGUUAACAGCUGGUCUACACAGACCCUUCAACUGCUUCAUUUCCAAGUGUUUCUGACUGAAGUGCCGUGGGUGAACAAGCUAACUAAUCAAAG
Molecule: long non-coding RNA, 358 nt
Organism: Melanotaenia boesemani (Boeseman's rainbowfish)
Lineage: Eukaryota; Metazoa; Chordata; Actinopteri; Atheriniformes; Melanotaeniidae
Exons: 4
Source: RefSeq, a predicted model, not a curated record